This is a long non-coding RNA of Phyllopteryx taeniolatus (common seadragon), 987 nucleotides long. RefSeq lists it as uncharacterized. The record is from RefSeq and is a predicted model, not a curated record. The transcript is spliced from 4 exons. NCBI's taxonomy places the organism in Eukaryota, Metazoa, Chordata, Actinopteri, Syngnathiformes, Syngnathidae.
CUGUACUAAAAGAUUUACUGCAUACCAAAGAAACCUGAAUCUCAUCGAAAGCUUUGAAUCGCAACAAUUGAGCUGGACAAGUGGAACCGACUGACAACUUUUGACACAUUGUCUAUGACUCCUCCCACCUUCCGCGCUGUUCUCGUACUGUGCUGGCUGAAACAUUCCCACGGUCCUUUCUUUCUGAGCAGCUGGUAAAGCAAGGAGUCAUGUACGUGGACGCACUGGUCUUUUAAACAACUCGGACCUGGUAAAAAAAAACAAAAAAAAACAACAACAACAACAACAAAAAAAAACACCACUGCCUGGAAGCUCUGUGACCAGUCAUGUAUGAGACAUUUUUAUACCGAGACAGAUACGAUGGCGUCAUCAGAGGGCCACAUUGGAUCUGUACAGCUCUGCAGUGUGUGUGUGCGUCUUUCAAUAACCUGAUGAUGAGGACAGGCUUCAUCUCUGUUAUUACUGAUGAGUGAACACUGCGUACUGGGCCCUCGUUCUCCAAGACCAGCAACAACUCCUCCCUGCCACCAUGGGCUCACCCAGUCCCUCAAUAACCCCUCUGCUAGUGACCUUCACCCCUGAUGCUAAUAAUAAUAAUAAUACACAAAGGCAAUCCAUGUAAGAAAAUGCCAUAAAUCUCACACACACACACGCCCUUUUUGAGAAUUUAAGCUUUCGUAUAUAUGAAAGUUAUCCCGCUCAUUUGUUCACAUAUCAAAUAAUAUGUAAGUAUCCCUUCAUUGCUUAAAGUGUAAAUCAAAAAGUCAGGUCACAGAGACUUGAUCAUUUUGUGAGGAUGAGCAACAACGAGAAUCAAUGAUGCUCGCAAUACAUAAGGGCUAAAGUAUUUAACGAUUUUACCAAAUCAUUUGCAGAACAAAUAUUUUUGUCUAAUAUUUUGCCAUUUUCCCACUGUGCCUGCCUGUAGUCGUGCUGCUGGAUCCUUCCUCCACACUGAAAAGAUCCCUCAGCUUUCCAGAUUUGGGU